RNAcentral lists this ribosomal RNA (1415 nucleotides) under metagenome. Its description in RNAcentral is "bacterial LSU rRNA". It matches the Rfam family "Bacterial large subunit ribosomal RNA", at positions 1478 to 2880 of the family's 2925-position model. The record is from RNAcentral.
AAGGUUAGGUCAGCCAUCUGUUGGAAUAGGUGGUUUAAGCGUGUAGGCGUGCCCCUUAGGCAAAUCCGGGGGGCUUAGCUGAGGCGUGACGACGAGGCACUACGGUGCUGAAGUGAUUAAUACCAAGCUUCCAGGAAAAGCCACUAAGCUUCAGUCUAGAGUCGACCGUACCGCAAACCGACACAGGUGGGCAGGAUGAAAAUUCUAAGGCGCUUGAGAGAACUCAGGAGAAGGAACUCGGCAAAUUGACACCGUAACUUCGAGAGAAGGUGUGCCCCGGUAGGUUGUAGAGCCUCGCGCUCGAAGGCCGAUGGGGUUGCAGUGAAAUGGUGGCUGCGACUGUUUAAUAAAAACACAGCACUCUCCAAACACGAAAGUGGACGUAUAGGGUGUGACGCCUGCCCGGUGCUGGAAGAUUAAAUGAUGGGGUGCAAGCUCUUGAUUGAAGUCCCAGUAAACGGCGGCCGUAACUAUAACGGUCCUAAGGUAGCGAAAUUCCUUGUCGGGUAAGUUCCGACCUGCACGAAUGGCGUAACGAUGGCCACACUGUCUCCUCCUGAGACUCAGCGAAGUUGAAAUGUUUGUGAAGAUGCAAUCUCCCCGCGGCAAGACGGAAAGACCCCAUGAACCUUUACUGCAGCUUUGCAUUGGACUUUGAACCGGUUUGUGUAGGAUAGGUGGGAGACUGUGAAACCGGGACGCUAGUCUCGGUGGAGUCGUCCUUGAAAUACCACCCUGAUUUGUUUGAGGUUCUAACCUGGGCCAGUGAAUCCUGGCCGGGGACCGUGCAUGGUAGGCAGUUUGACUGGGGCGGUCUCCUCCCAAAAGGUAACGGAGGAGUACGAAGGUACGCUUAGGGCGGUCGGACAUCGCCCAUAAAGUGCAAUGGCAAAAGCGUGCUUGACUGCGAGACCCACAAGUCGAGCAGGUGCGAAAGCAGGUCAUAGUGAUCCGGUGGUUCUGUAUGGAAGGGCCAUCGCUCAACGGAUAAAAGGUACUCUGGGGAUAACAGGCUGAUACCGCCCAAGAGUUCAUAUCGACGGCGGUGUUUGGCACCUCGAUGUCGGCUCAUCUCAUCCUGGGGCUGUAGCCGGUCCCAAGGGUAUGGCUGUUCGCCAUUUAAAGAGGUACGUGAGCUGGGUUUAAAACGUCGUGAGACAGUUUGGUCCCUAUCUGCCGUGGGCGCUGGAAAUUUGAAGGGGGCUGCUCCUAGUACGAGAGGACCGGAGUGGACGAACCUCUGGUGUACCGGUUAUAACGCAGUCGUAUCGCCGGGUAGCUAUGUUCGGAAGAGAUAAACGCUGAAAGCAUCUAAGCGUGAAACUCGCCUUAAGAUAAGAUUUCCCGGAGUCUUGAACUCCUUGAAGGGUCGUCGAAGACCACGACGUUGAUAGGUCAGGUGUGGAAGCCAAAAG